Molecule: ribosomal RNA, 497 nt
Filed under: uncultured bacterium
Lineage: Bacteria
Description: partial 16S ribosomal RNA
Rfam family: Bacterial small subunit ribosomal RNA
Source: RNAcentral
AGUGAACGCUGGCGGCGUGCCUAAUACAUGCGAGUCGAGCGAACACAUAGUGAGCUUUCUCCUCUAACGUUAGCGACUGACGGGUGAGUAACACAUAGAUCGCCAACCUAUAAUACUUGGAUGACUACGUGAGACCGGUUCUGCUACCAGAUCAUAUAUUCAACCGCUUGGUUCAAUAGUUAAACACGCUUUUGCUGUCACUUAUAGAUGAAUCCGCGCCGCAUUAGCUAGUUGGUAAGGUAACGGCAUACCAAGGCAACGAUGCGUAGCUGACCUGAGAGGAUGAUCGGCCACACUGGAACUGAGACACGGUCCAGACUCCUACGGGAGGCAGCAGUAGGGAAUAUUGGGCAAUGGGCGAAAGCCUGACGCAGCCAUGCCGCGUGAGUGAAGAAGGUCUUCGGAUUGUAAAACUCUGUUAUUAGGGAAGAAAAGCUGUAUAAGUAAACCCCGAUGUUCUGACGGUACCUAAACAGAAAGCACCGGCUAACUACGUG